GACGAACGCUGGCGGCGUGCUUAACACAUGCAAGUCGAGCGGUAAGGCCCUUUCGGGGGUACACGAGCGGCGAACGGGUGAGUAACACGUGGGUGACCUGCCCUCAGCUCUGGGAUAAGCCUGGGAAACCGGGUCUAAUACCGGAUAUGACUCCAUGACGCAUGUUGUGGGGUGGAAAGCCUUGUGCGGCUGAGGAUGGGCCCGCGGCCUAUCAGCUUGUUGGUGGGGUGAUGGCCUACCAAGGCGACGACGGGUAGCCGGCCUGAGAGGCGACCGGCCACACUGGGACUGAGACACGGCCCAGACUCCUACGGGAGGCAGCAGUGGGGAAUCUUGCGCAAUGGGCGAAAGCCUGACGCAGCGACGCCGCGUGAGGGAUGACGGCCU
RNAcentral lists this ribosomal RNA (387 nucleotides) under uncultured bacterium. RNAcentral describes it as "bacterial SSU rRNA". It matches the Rfam family "Bacterial small subunit ribosomal RNA", at positions 28 to 417 of the family's 1533-position model. The record is from RNAcentral.